AUUGAACGCUGGCGGCAUGCCUUACACAUGCAAGUCGAACGGUAACAGGUUAAGCUGACGAGUGGCGAACGGGUGAGUAAUGUAUCGGAACGUGCCCAGUCGUGGGGGAUAACUGCUCGAAAGAGCAGCUAAUACCGCAUACGACCUGAGGGUGAAAGCGGGGGAUCGCAAGACCUCGCGCGAUUGGAGCGGCCGAUAGCAGAUUAGGUAGUUGGUGAGGUAAAGGCUUACCAAGCCGACGAUCUGUAGCUGGUCUGAGAGGACGACCAGCCACACUGGGACUGAGACACGGCCCAGACUCCUACGGGAGGCAGCAGUGGGGAAUUUUGGACAAAGGGCGAAAGCCUGAUCCAGCCAUGCCGCGUGUGUGAAGAAGGCCUUCGGGUUGUAAAGCGCUUUUGUCCGGAAAGAAAAGGUUCUCGCUAAUACCUGCGGGUCAUGACGGUACCUGAAGAAUAAGCACCGGCUAACUACGUG
This 477-nucleotide ribosomal RNA is filed under the name uncultured bacterium. RNAcentral's name for it is "partial 16S ribosomal RNA". It matches the Rfam family "Bacterial small subunit ribosomal RNA", at positions 30 to 507 of the family's 1533-position model. The record is from RNAcentral.